AGUCCUGUGGCCUAGCGGCGAAGGCAGCCUACUUACAAGAAGACGAUCGGUGGUUCGAGUCCACCCAGGACUAC
Molecule: transfer RNA, 74 nt
Filed under: Bythopirellula goksoeyrii
Lineage: Bacteria; Pseudomonadati; Planctomycetota; Planctomycetia; Pirellulales; Lacipirellulaceae
Description: Bythopirellula goksoyri tRNA-Val
Rfam family: tRNA
About the family: Transfer RNA (tRNA) molecules are approximately 80 nucleotides in length. Their secondary structure includes four short double-helical elements and three loops (D, anti-codon, and T loops). Further hydrogen bonds mediate the characteristic L-shaped molecular structure. tRNAs have two regions of fundamental functional importance: the anti-codon, which is responsible for specific mRNA codon recognition, and the 3' end, to which the tRNAs corresponding amino acid is attached (by aminoacyl-tRNA synthetases). tRNAs cope with the degeneracy of the genetic code in two manners: having more than one tRNA (with a specific anti-codon) for a particular amino acid; and 'wobble' base-pairing, i.e. permitting non-standard base-pairing at the 3rd anti-codon position.
Source: RNAcentral